This 460-nucleotide ribosomal RNA is filed under the name uncultured Flavobacterium sp. RNAcentral's name for it is "bacterial SSU rRNA". It matches the Rfam family "Bacterial small subunit ribosomal RNA", at positions 338 to 795 of the family's 1533-position model. The record is from RNAcentral. Lineage: Bacteria; Pseudomonadati; Bacteroidota; Flavobacteriia; Flavobacteriales; Flavobacteriaceae.
CCUACGGGGGGCUGCAGUGAGGAAUAUUGGGCAAUGGAGGCAACUCUGACCCAGCCAUGCCGCGUGCAGGAAGACGGCCCUAUGGGUUGUAAACUGCUUUUGUACGAGAAGAAACACUCCUUCGUGAAGGGGCUUGACGGUAUCGUAAGAAUAAGGAUCGGCUAACUCCGUGCCAGCAGCCGCGGUAAUACGGAGGAUCCAAGCGUUAUCCGGAAUCAUUGGGUUUAAAGGGUCCGUAGGCGGUCUUAUAAGUCAGUGGUGAAAUCUCCUAGCUCAACUAGGAAACUGCCAUUGAUACUGUAGGACUUGAAUGUUUGUGAAGUAACUAGAAUAUGUAGUGUAGCGGUGAAAUGCUUAGAUAUUACAUGGAAUACCAAUUGCGAAGGCAGGUUACUAACAGAUGAUUGACGCUGAUGGACGAAAGCGUGGGGAGCGAACAGGAUUAGAUACCCCGGUAGUC